Molecule: long non-coding RNA, 1780 nt
Organism: Oncorhynchus tshawytscha (Chinook salmon)
Lineage: Eukaryota; Metazoa; Chordata; Actinopteri; Salmoniformes; Salmonidae
Source: Ensembl
UGAAUGACAGUAACCUAAACCUGUCACUGUUACAUUGAACUGGACGAAUGUGAAUCAUCCAGUAUGCUGUAAUAUAAAUAAGGUCAUGCUCAUGAAUAAAUAACCGUCCUCCCUCAUCUUUGAACGGCACCGACCUCCACUGUCUGCCCUUUGCCUUCAACACUACGGGCGGCAACAAUGUCAUCCUCCUUCUGACCAGACAGCAGCAGAUAGAUAGAGCCAACACGUAGAGAGACAGAGGGGCGCUGUUUCGCUGACUCGGAUCUCUUCUCAUGUGGGAUACAUUCAGCCUCUUGUGAAUCGGAGGAAAAUAAUGAAACGGCAGAGACUAAAUGUAUAGUAAAAUAUAUAGAAAAAAUAUAUAGAAAAAUAUAUAGAAAAAAUAUAUAGAAAAAUAUAUAGAAAAAAUAUAUAAAAAAAUAUAUAGAAAAAUAUAUAGAAAAAAUAUAUAGAAAAAUAUAUAGAAAAAAUGUAUAGUAAAAUAUAUAGAAAAAAUAUAGAAAAAUAUAUAGAAAGAUAUAUAGAAAAAAUGUAUAGUAAAAUAUAUAGAAAAAAUAUAUAGAAAAAUAUAUAGAAAAAAAUGUAUAGUAAAAUAUAUAGAAAAAAUAUAUAGAAAAAUAUAUAGAAAAAAUAUCUACAAAAAAAAUAUAUAGAAAAAUAUAUAGAAAAAAUAUAUAGAAAAAUAUAAUAAAAAUAAAAAUAUAAAAAAUAUGUAGAAAAAAAAUAUAUAGAAAAAAUAUAUAGAAAAAAUAUAUAGAAAAAAAUAUAUAGAAAAAUAUAUUUUGGGGGGGGUCAAUUCUGGGCUUCCCUUGGCAGCCAUCAAUACAUGCCAUUGGCUGCAUUUAGAUACACCUCUAUGUUGUAAUGGGGGUACAUUUCAGAUAAACCUCUAUGUUGUAAUGGGGGUAAAUUUCAGAUAAACCCCUAUGUUGUAAUGGGGUACAUUUCAGAUUUUAAAAAACCCUAUGUUGUAAUGGGGUACAUUUCAGAUAAUAAACCCCUAUGUUGUAAUGGGGUACAUAUAAAAAAAACUAUGUUGUAAUGGGGUACAUUUCAGAUAAUAAACCCCUAUGUUGUAAUGGGGUACAUUUCAGAUACACCCCUAUGUUGUAAUGGGGUACAUUUCAGAUAAAAAACACUAUGUUGUAAUGGGGUACAUUUCAGAUAAUAAACCCCUAUGUUGUAAUGGGGUACAUUUCAGAUACACCCCUAUGUUGUAAUGGGGUACAUAUAAAAAAAAACUAUGUUGUAAUGGGGUACAUUUCAGAUAAAACCCUAUGUUGUAAUGGGGUACAUUUCAGAUAAAAACCCCUAUGUUGUAAUGGGGUACAUUUCAGAUAAACCCCUAUGUUGUAAUGGGGGUACAUUUCAGAUAAACCCCUAUGUUGUAAUGGGGGUACAUUUCAGAUAAACCUCUAUGUUGUAAUGGGGGUACAUUUCAGAUAAACCCCUAUGUUGUAAUGGGGUACAUUUCAGAUAAAAAACCCUAUGUUGUAAUGGGGUACAUUUCAGAUAAAAAAAACCUAUGUUGUAAUGGGGUACAUUUCAGAUAAAAAACCCUAUGUUAUAAUGGGGUACAUUUCAGAUAAAAAACCCUAUGUUGUAAUGGGGCACAUUUCAGAUUUAAAAAAACUAUGUUGUAAUGGGGUACGUCUCUUUCUUGUGUUAUUAUAUAAAGCGAUGGUAUGGCACAUGCAUGUGUGUGUGUAUAAACCUUAAUAUGUGCUGUGUGUGUGUGUGUGUGUGUGUGUGUGUGUGUGUGUGUGUGUGUGUGUGUGUG